RNAcentral lists this ribosomal RNA (253 nucleotides) under Gemmatimonas sp. RNAcentral describes it as "partial 16S ribosomal RNA". It matches the Rfam family "Bacterial small subunit ribosomal RNA", at positions 524 to 776 of the family's 1533-position model. The record is from RNAcentral. Lineage: Bacteria; Pseudomonadati; Gemmatimonadota; Gemmatimonadia; Gemmatimonadales; Gemmatimonadaceae. RNAcentral also lists the same sequence under 1 other name.
UACGGAGGGUGCGAGCGUUGUCCGGAAUCAUUGGGCGUAAAGGGCGCGUAGGUGGCCCGGUCAGUUCGUGGUGAAAGCGCGGGGCUCAACUCCGCGUCGGCCAUGAAUACUGCUGGGCUUGAGCACUGUAGAGGCAGGCGGAAUUCCGGGUGUAGCGGUGGAAUGCGUAGAGAUCCGGAAGAACACCGGUGGCGAAGGCGGCCUGCUGGGCAGUGGCUGACACUGAGGCGCGACAGCGUGGGGAGCAAACAGG